AGGCCUGCCGCAGCAACGCCGCGUGAGUGAUGAAGGCUUUCGGGUCGUAAAGCUCUGUCUAGAGGGAAGAAAUGAUUUUCGGUUAAUACCCGGAUUUCUUGACGGUACCUCUGAAGGAAGCACCGGCUAACUCCGUGCCAGCAGCCGCGGUAAUACGGAGGGUGCAAGCGUUGUUCGGAUUUAUUGGGCGUAAAGCGCGUGUAGGCGGUUUGUUAAGUCUGAUGUGAAAGCCCUGGGCUCAACCUGGGAAGUGCAUUGGAAACUGGCAGACUUGAAUACGGGAGAGGGUAGUGGAAUUCCUAGUGUAGGAGUGAAAUCCGUAGAUAUUAGGAGGAACACCGGUGGCGAAGGCGGCUACCUGGACCGAUAUUGACGCUGAGACGCGAAAGCGUGGGGAGCAAACAGGAUUAGAUACCCUGGUAGUCCACGCCGUAAACGAUGAGUACUAGGUGUUG
This 455-nucleotide ribosomal RNA is filed under the name uncultured bacterium. Its description in RNAcentral is "bacterial SSU rRNA". It matches the Rfam family "Bacterial small subunit ribosomal RNA", at positions 379 to 825 of the family's 1533-position model. The record is from RNAcentral.